GGCAACAUGGCCGAGCGGUCUAAGGCGCUGGAAUCAGGCUCUCUUUGUCUUAUCCAGUCCGAAAGGGCGUGGGUUCGAAUCCCACUGUUGUCA
This is a non-coding RNA of Russula ochroleuca, 93 nucleotides long. NCBI's taxonomy places the organism in Eukaryota, Fungi, Basidiomycota, Agaricomycetes, Russulales, Russulaceae. The record is from the annotation of a GenBank genome assembly.